AGGAGGAAUGUAUAUCGACUACUGUCGAAUAAAGUUCUAGUUAAUUUAUGAUAAUGACAUUUUUUAACUAUGUGUCUUGACCAAAUCAUGUGCCACCAGUCGCGGUAAUACAUGGAAGACUAGUGUGUAUUCAUCUUUAACAGGUUUAAAGGGUACCUAGACGGCGAAUCAAGCCCCAAAAGGGUACUAAUUUACUAGAGUUUAAUAAGAGAGGGGGAGUACUGAUGAGUGGAGAGAUGAAAUUUUAUGAUACCAUUAGGAACAGACAAGGGCGAAAGCGACCCUUUACAUAAAAACUGACGUUGAGGGACGAAGGCUUUAGUCGUGAACAGGAUUAGAUACCCAAGUAAUUAAAGCAGACAAUGAUGAAUGUCAUAGAUUAGUAGGCACUUCUAUUAAUCUAUAAAUGAAAGUGUAAGCAUUCCACCUCAAGAGUAAUGUGGCAACGCAGAAACUGAAAUCAUUAGACCGUUUCUGAAACCAGUAGUGAAGUAUGUUGUUUAAUUAGAUAAUCCGCAAAAGACCUCACCACAAUUUGUAUAUUAUUAUUUCUUAAUAAUACAAGCGUUGCACGGCUGUCUUCAGUUAAUGUCGUGAGAUUAGGUUAGUUCCAUUAAAUUAACGUAAACCCUUGCUUUAUUUAUAUUAUAAAGUAGAUCMCCGCUAUAUUGGAUGUGAUAAUAGGGACUAAGACMAGUCAUCAUGGCCUGRAUAUUGUGGGCGAUAGACGUGCCACAUAAUCGGAGACAAAGGGAUGCAAAAUUG
RNAcentral lists this ribosomal RNA (765 nucleotides) under Pertusaria tejocotensis. Its description in RNAcentral is "SSU rRNA". It matches the Rfam family "Bacterial small subunit ribosomal RNA", at positions 405 to 1257 of the family's 1533-position model. The record is from RNAcentral. Lineage: Eukaryota; Fungi; Ascomycota; Lecanoromycetes; Pertusariales; Pertusariaceae.